AGGAGAACAUCUUAUAAUCUUAGGGUGGACAUGACUUUUUUAAGUAAAAUGUAGUAUAAAAAUCCUCUAGGAGUUUCCUGGUGGCCUAGCAGGUUAAGGAUCUGCUGUUGUCACUGCUGUGUCAUGAGUUCGAUCCCUGGCCAGGAAACUUCCGAAUGUUACGGAGAGGACCUCAAAAUGCAAAGUCUUCUUAUGACAAAAGAUGCUGUGAACAAGAGCAAAAUAACAAUAAGAUCCUACUGUGCAGCAUGGGGAAUUAUAUCCAGUCUCUCGGGAUAGAACAUGAUGCAAUAUUGUGUGAGAUAAGGAAUGUGCAUAUAUGGGAGCUCCUGUUGUGGCUCAGUGGUUAACGAACCCGGCUAGCAUCCAUGAGGAUGCGGGUUCGAUCCCUGGCCUUCCUCAGUGGGUUAAGGAUCUGGUGUUGCUGUGGCUGUGGUGUACGAUGGCAGCUGUAGCUCUGAUUUAGCCCCUAGCCUGGGAACCUCCAUAUGCGGUGAGUGUGGCCCUAAAAGUCUAAAAGCCAAAAAAAAAAAGAAUGUGUAUAUAUGUAUGACUGGGUUGCUUGGCUAUACGACAGAAAUGGACACAGCAUUGUAAACUGACUAUACUUGAUUAAAAAAACAGACUGGGAGAAAAUAUUUGUACAUAAUGAAGCAAUAGGAAAACGAAUAAUUUUAGAAUGACUACAAAUGACCAAUACAUACCUGAGGAAUUGCAAAAAAUAACUGGAAACAAGGAAAAUACAAAUUAUAUUUUAAGUAUAUAUAAUGUAUGUAUUAUAUAAGAAGCAUAAACUAUAUAACAUUUUAAGUAUUUAGGAUAUAAUUGUGUCUGGUUGCUCUCCAAAGGCCUCAAAGGCAAGACGAGGGGCGCUAAGUAUUCUAAUUCUGCUGGGGGACGCGUGAAGGGCACAGCUUCCUUCAGCAGUUCCGUCGAAAGAUAAAGUGUGAAAUUCCCUCUGCUAAAAUCUCGUUUCUACGUACCUCUCACAGAGAAAUCGUCUUACGUGUGUGUGUGCACGCCGAGGCCGAGACAGAGACAUUCACUCAGCACGGUUUUCAAAAAAGAAAACGCCGAAGCACCUCAAGGUCACUCGGCAGAGGAGUGUGAAGAGCGACUGCCGAUUUCACAUGAGACCAGGCUACACGUGGACUGGCGUGGCGCAGUGGGACGGGGCUGCGCUAAGCCGCAACGCUCGGACCCGGUCCAAGAGCCCCGCGCUGACCUGCUGAGUGACUUCACCUUCUGGGCCUCGGUUUCCUCACCUGCACGUGGAAGGACCUGGACUCAUUUUCUCUCUACUCUCAAGUUCAGUCAGGAGGUGAGUCUGCAAGAAGUUUAAUGGGCUUUGAGAGCUGCUGAAAAUAAAAACUCUAUUUCUCUGCUUCCUUGUGUGUUC
This 1399-nucleotide long non-coding RNA is filed under the name Sus scrofa (pig). RNAcentral's name for it is "lncRNA (ENSSSCG00015038060.1)". Lineage: Eukaryota; Metazoa; Chordata; Mammalia; Artiodactyla; Suidae. The record is from RNAcentral.